UGUGCACUGGUGGGGUCCCUUGGCCGGGCCUGUACCCUCUCGCAAUCUGGGACCCUUUGGGGGAUGUCAGACUGCUGGUUUUGGCCCUAUCCCUGCAGGCCAGGCCAAGGGACCCCACCAGUGCAAG
Myotis brandtii (Brandt's bat) is the source of this 127-nucleotide non-coding RNA. The record is from Rfam. NCBI's taxonomy places the organism in Eukaryota, Metazoa, Chordata, Mammalia, Chiroptera, Vespertilionidae.